UGGUCGCCAGCCUCUGGCCAGCCCCUGCAGCCCAGCCGUUUUCCGGCAGGAGGGCUGGGCUGAGUACGGCCGAGGACUGGGCAGGCAGGGCAGCCGGUGGUCGCCGUCCCUCCAGGACACGAGUGCCCCUGCACAGGGGCGGAAGGGGAGGCCCGGGAGCCGGGGAGCCGCGGAGGCCAAGGGCCAGGCCGGCCAGGCCCCAGGGCAGGGCGGGGCGAUCCCAGCGUGCGGCCCUGAGGCACUGUCCCCACACCGCUCCACACUGUCCCGAAGCCCCCGAGCGCCAGCCCGGACCCCCGGGACACGCCCCCCACCACACACACACACACACACACACACACACACACACACACACACUCCCCCCCCCGACCCCCGGGACACACACCCCCACCCCACCCCCUGCACCCCCCGCACCCCCGACCGCUGGGACACCCCCCCACACACUCCCCUCCCCUCCAGCAACGCGCGGCGCUCCCAUCCCCCGGCAGCCCACCAGGUGGCGCUCGCUCCCCCACCCCCCCCCCCCCGCGCCGACGCCCGUGACGUCAGCCGCCCGGCUCCAUUUGAGCGCCUCUCGGCAGCCGAGAACUCGGACUUCCCGUGUGGCUCACAACAUAACUACUCGGCGUUGCUUCUACAGUGGCUGUGGCUCGACCCCUGGCCUGGGAACUUCCAUAUGCCGCAGGUCCUUGAAGCCCACCCAAGACCCCCAUUGGCCCCAGCAGCCCAGAUCCACAAACAAGCAAACAAACAAGCAAACAAACAAACAAACAAACAAACAAACAAACAAAGGCUGCCUCGGGAUCACCUGAACCAGAGCUUGGAAAAACCCGCGGGGAGGAUCGUUUGGGUUUCGUUGUUUGCAAAGGCUGGCGGGCUGGGGGGGGGGGCGGACGGUGGCACCCCAUGCCCGAGACGGCCCCGUCAGGUCGCUGGCGCUGACUUGAAGCCUGGGAGGAUAGCCUCUUUCUGCACAGGGAACUGACUCGGGUUUGGAGCCCGCAGCUGAGGGCGCUGGGCGUGUGUCCUCAAUCCUCCUGCGGUCAGCAAUGCAGUGGCUUCGUCUGCUUUGAGUCGGAGGUCGAUUCUUACGAUUAAAGUCGAGCUGAUGUCCAAUGUUUCCUCCAGGGGUCUUGGUCCGCCAAGGGACCCACUCGCAGACAUUUCCCCGCGCUGUACCGGCGGCUCCCGUGGCCCAUCCAUUCCACACAGCGCAGGUGGCAUCCACAGAGCAGCCCAGAGGCCCAUCCCCAUCCAUCCCAGGGCAGCCCCUUUCCCCCACCCCACCCCCACCCCCACCCCCACCCGCCAAGCCCAAGUGUGUGCUCCUUGCCCACCCUCGGUUUCUGGUGUCUGCGGGUGGGUGUUUAGAUAGCGCCAUCCGUUGCGUCGUUUAGAGUCCACCAACAGGUGAUGUCCUAGGGCACUUGUCUUUUUCCUUUCUGGCUUCCUUCGCUUAGCCUGAGGGUCUCUCGUUCCAGCCCCGCGGCGGCAGAUGGCACUCGUUCUGCCGCUUUUUCCUGGCUGUGUGCGAUGCCAUCGCAUAGAUGUCCCCGGGUCUGCGAAGUGCACUCACCUGUCAGUGGACCUUUAGGUGGCUUCCAGAUCUUGGCUCUGGUGAGUAGUGCGGCGACAGACAGAGGGGUGCCCGGGUCUGCUUCCGGGAAAGUUUGGUCCCGGUGAAAUGGAGCUGUUUGGAGGCCGGCUUCGGUCUUUGUGUGGGCCGGCCCGUGUAGGGCUGCUUGGCUGAGACUCUGUCGAGGAGGGAGGCCUUCAGCCACCGGGGCCUCACGGGGCCUACCCGUGCGGCACCAUCACAGAGCUCUCCGUCACUGCCCCUUGUGGGGGUGAGGGAAGGGGCGUGUUGCGGGGGGGGGGGGCGUGUGUGUGGGGGGGAUGGUGGGCAAGG
Molecule: long non-coding RNA, 1909 nt
Filed under: Sus scrofa (pig)
Lineage: Eukaryota; Metazoa; Chordata; Mammalia; Artiodactyla; Suidae
Description: lncRNA (ENSSSCG00070008444.1)
Source: RNAcentral